GGCCCUAUGGGGUGCACCAGGCGAGAAAACUUUGCAAUGUGCGAAAGCACGACAAGGUUAAUCCGAGUGGUUUCUGCUAAAGGAACCUUUUGUUAGUCUUAGAAACACUAACGAAUAAGGGGUGGGCAAGUUCUGGUGUCAGCCGCCGCGGUAAAACCAGCACCUCAAGUGGUCAGGAUGAUUAUUGGGCCUAAAGCAUCCGUAGCCGGCUCUGUAAGUUUUCGGUUAAAUCUGUACGCUCAACGUACAGGCUGCCGGGAAUACUGCAGAGCUAGGGAGUGGGAGAGGUAGACGGUACUCGAUAGGAAGGGGUAAAAUCCUUUGAUCUAUUGAUGACCACCUGUGGCGAAGGCGGUCUACCAGAACACGUCCGACGGUGAGGGAUGAAAGCUGGGGGAGCAAACCGGAUUAGAUACCCGGGUAGUCCCAGCUGUAAACUAUGCAAACUCAGUGAUGCAUUGGCUUGUGGCCAGUGCAGUGUUGCAGGGAAGCCGUUAAGUUUGCCGCCUGGGAAGUACGUACGCAAGUAUGAAACUUAAAGGAAUUGGCGGGGGAGCAC
RNAcentral lists this ribosomal RNA (559 nucleotides) under uncultured Nitrosopumilales archaeon. Its description in RNAcentral is "bacterial SSU rRNA". It matches the Rfam family "Archaeal small subunit ribosomal RNA", at positions 319 to 879 of the family's 1478-position model. The record is from RNAcentral. Lineage: Archaea; Thermoproteati; Nitrososphaerota; Nitrososphaeria; Nitrosopumilales.